RNAcentral lists this ribosomal RNA (580 nucleotides) under uncultured bacterium. RNAcentral describes it as "bacterial SSU rRNA". It matches the Rfam family "Bacterial small subunit ribosomal RNA", at positions 102 to 669 of the family's 1533-position model. The record is from RNAcentral.
ACGGGUGAGUAACACGUAGGCAACCUGCCCUCAAGCUUGGGACAACUACCGGAAACGGUAGCUAAUACCGAAUACUUGUUUUCUUCGCCUGAAGGGAACUGGAAAGACGGAGCAAUCUGUCACUUGAGGAUGGGCCUGCGGCGCAUUAGCUAGUUGGUGAGGUAACGGCUCACCGAGGCGACGAUGCGUAGCCGACCUGAGAGGGUGAUCGGCCACACUGGGACUGAGACACGGCCCAGACUCCUACGGGAGGCAGCAGUAGGGAAUCUUCCGCAAUGGGCGAAAGCCUGACGGAGCAAUGCCGCGUGAGUGAUGAAGGUUUUCGGAUCGUAAAGCUCUGUUGCCAGGGAAGAACGCUUAGGAGAGUAACUGCUCCUGAGGUGACGGUACCUGAGAAGAAAGCCCCGGCUAACUACGUGCCAGCAGCCGCGGUAAUACGUAGGGGGCAAGCGUUGUCCGGAAUUAUUGGGCGUAAAGCGCGCGCAGGCGGUCAUUUAAGUCUGGUGUUUAAUCCCGGGGCUCAACCCCGGAUCGCACUGGAAACUGGGUGACUUGAGUGCAGAAGAGGAGAGUGGAAUUC